ACGCACGCUGGCGGCGUGCUUCACCCCUGCAAGUCGCACGGAAAGGCCCUGCUUUUGUGGGGUGCUCGCGUGGCGAACGGGUGAGUAACACGUGAGUAACCUGCCCUUGACUUUGGGAUAACUUCAGGAAACUGGGGCUAAUACCGGAUAGGAGCUCCUGCUGCAUGGUGGGGGAUGGAAAGUUUCGGCGGUUGGGGAUGGACUCGCGGCUUAUCAGCUUGUUGGUGGGGUAGUGGCUUACCAAGGCUUUGACGGGUAGCCGGCCUGAGAGGGUGACUGGCCACAUUGGGACUGAGAUACGGCCCAGACUCCUACGGGAGGCAGCAGUGGGGAAUAUUGCACAAUGGGCGGAAGCCUGAUGCAGCAACGCCGCGUGCGGGAUGACGGCCUUCGGGUUGUAAACCGCUUUCGCCUGUGACGAAGCGUGAGUGACGGUAAUGGGUAAAGAAGCACCGGCUAACUACGUG
This 467-nucleotide ribosomal RNA is filed under the name uncultured bacterium. RNAcentral's name for it is "partial 16S ribosomal RNA". It matches the Rfam family "Bacterial small subunit ribosomal RNA", at positions 29 to 507 of the family's 1533-position model. The record is from RNAcentral.